This 553-nucleotide ribosomal RNA is filed under the name uncultured Methanomicrobiaceae archaeon. RNAcentral's name for it is "bacterial SSU rRNA". It matches the Rfam family "Archaeal small subunit ribosomal RNA", at positions 515 to 1029 of the family's 1478-position model. The record is from RNAcentral. Lineage: Archaea; Methanobacteriati; Methanobacteriota; Methanomicrobia; Methanomicrobiales; Methanomicrobiaceae.
AGGUGAGUUCGUACGGUGGGCCAUAUCUUCUUCCGGCUGCCUGGGUACGCUGGACGUGCCGGCGGCGUUCUCGGUAUUCGUGGUGACGUUCGUACUGUGAAGCAUUACUGGCUGACUGGGUACCGGCCGAGGUGAGAGGUACUCCCUGCGUAGGAGUGAAAUCCUGUUUGCCUUGCGGGACCGCCUGUGGCGAAGGAGUCUCACCCAACCGACUCCGACUGAGAGGGACGAACGCUGGGGGAGCAAACCGGAUUAAAUACCCGGGUAGUCCCACCCGUAAACGAUGCACGUUAGGUGUAUCGGUGACCACGAGUCACCGAGGUGCCGAACAGAAAUCAUGAAACGAGCCGCCUGGCAAGUACGGUCGCCAGGCUGAAACUUACUUGAAUUGGCUGGGGAGCACCACCCCAGGUGGAGGCUGCUUGUUAAUCAGAUUCAUUCCCCGCAAGCUCACUUAAUAAGACAGCUGGAUGAUUGUCGGGCUGAAUACUCUACUUGACUGACUGACAGGAGGUGCAUGGCUGUCCUCCGUUCGUACUGUGAGGCAUACAUA